UACGAGUUUUAAGAUUAUAUUCUGGAGCUGUGGAGACGUAGGCUUGACUACCUAUUCUGUUACUUAAAGGAUGGCAGAUUGCUUGUUUGAUUUAAGAAUCUUGGCCUCCAGCCUACUUUUCCAGUAUGCCAGUCCCAUUGUUGACUGAUUUUCUUAACAUGUCCUUUAUGAUAAGGUAAAAGUUCUUCCUAAUUUUCUGUUAAUAUUGACUUUCCCAUUUUAAAGAUACACAUAAUAUCUU
RNAcentral lists this long non-coding RNA (241 nucleotides) under Capra hircus (goat). Its description in RNAcentral is "lncRNA (ENSCHIG00010002474.1)". The record is from RNAcentral. Lineage: Eukaryota; Metazoa; Chordata; Mammalia; Artiodactyla; Bovidae.